CCUACGGGAGGCUGCAGUAGGGAAUAUUGCUCAAUGGGGGAAACCCUGAAGCAGCAACGCCGCGUGGAGGAUGAAGGUUUUCGGAUUGUAAACUCCGUGUGUUAGAGAAGAGAAGGACGGUAGCUAACGAAUAAGCACCGGCUAACGCCGUGCCAGCAGCCGCGGUAAUCCGGAGGGUGCAAGCGUUACUCGGAAUCACUGGGCGUAAAGAGCGCGUAGGCGGGAUAGCAAGUCAGAUGUGAAAUCCUAUGGCUUAACCAUAGAACUGCAUUUGAAACUGUUAUUCUAGAGUAUGGGAGAGGUAGGUGGAAUUCUUGGUGUAGUGGUCAACUCCGUAGAGAUCACGCGGACUACUCAUUGCGACGGCGACCUGCUAGAACCUACCUGACGCUGAUGCGC
This 399-nucleotide ribosomal RNA is filed under the name uncultured bacterium. RNAcentral describes it as "partial 16S ribosomal RNA". It matches the Rfam family "Bacterial small subunit ribosomal RNA", at positions 338 to 754 of the family's 1533-position model. The record is from RNAcentral.